RNAcentral lists this long non-coding RNA (424 nucleotides) under Nicotiana benthamiana. RNAcentral's name for it is "long non-coding RNA (NBEN_LNC023590)". The record is from RNAcentral. Lineage: Eukaryota; Viridiplantae; Streptophyta; Magnoliopsida; Solanales; Solanaceae.
CUUCAAUUGCUAAUGCCGUACUUGGGGUUUUAGAAGGAGUGGAAAUUCUAGAUUGAGUUCUCUUUGCUCUUCUCUCUCUCGCCCUUCCAGUCCAUCGAUUGUUAGUUCUCUUGAGACUUCUGUUACAUCCCUUAAGUCAGUCUUAAGGGUAGAUAGCGCUAUAGGCUAACGAUAAGAUUCAAGGGCCUUCUAUUUAGUCGAUGCUUCUUUUUCCUUUGAUGGAGAAGUAGUAGUUGCUUCUCUCUGAAAGUUCAAGCGAGUUCUUGGAGUGCUUUUGUAAGAAGCCCCCUCCUGUUGGCGUGCUAUAAAAUGGAAUUCGAGUGAUAGGCCAAUGCUAAGUCUUCCAUGUCGUUGGAUAGUAGGUUCGAGGGCAAGGAAGGAGGUUAUCAUUUUGAAGCCUGCGAGCUAGUAAUUCCUCUCCUCG